This is a long non-coding RNA of Drosophila ananassae, 93 nucleotides long. RefSeq lists it as uncharacterized. Lineage: Eukaryota; Metazoa; Arthropoda; Insecta; Diptera; Drosophilidae. The record is from RefSeq and is a predicted model, not a curated record. The transcript has 3 exons.
ACUUUCUUUGACGUGUCGCUCUCUGAGUUAUGAUGGUGAAAGGUGACUUAUUAUUACAGGGGUUUCUUUAAUAAAAGCAACAAUACAGUUCGA